ACGGGAGGCAGCAGUGGGGAAUAUUGCACAAUGGGGGAAACCCUGAUGCAGCGACGCCGCGUGAGUGAAGAAGGAUUUCGGUAUGUAAAGCUCUAUCAGCAGGGAAGAAAAUGACGGUACCUGACUAAGAAGCCCCGGCUAACUACGUGCCAGCAGCCGCGGUAAUACGUAGGGGGCAAGCGUUAUCCGGAUUUACUGGGUGUAAAGGGAGCGUAGACGGCACGGUAAGUCUGAAGUGAAAUGCCGGGGCUCAACCCCGGAACUGCUUUGGAAACUAUCUCUCUCGAGUACCGGAGGGGUAAGCGGAAUUCCUAGUGUAGCGGUGAAAUGCGUAGAUAUAUGGAAGAACACCGGUGGCGAAGGCGACUAUCUGGACUGUAACUGACACUGAGGUACGAAAGCGUGGGGAGCAAACAGGAUUAGAUACCCUGGUA
Molecule: ribosomal RNA, 434 nt
Filed under: uncultured Lachnospiraceae bacterium
Lineage: Bacteria; Bacillati; Bacillota; Clostridia; Lachnospirales; Lachnospiraceae
Description: bacterial SSU rRNA
Rfam family: Bacterial small subunit ribosomal RNA
Source: RNAcentral